CACUGUCAUUAGAGUUUACAGUGACUAUUCGUAACGAUGAAUUGUGAUUUUGACAGUAAAGUCGAUAAACGGGAUUCCUACUAAUGGAGGUUAUCGGCAGAAUUGUUAUCGGUUAUUGACUCAGAUCAACAGCGACUAAAAUACAAAAGUCCAGUUGCAUUUGCCUUAAGUAACCUGCAGUUGGUUAGAUGAAACGUAAUUGAUAAUGAUAGGCAGAGCAUGUCGCACGAUGCGCAUGCGGAUGCUUAUCGCACUUGUGUGAGACCAGCGAGUGGGAACUAUAAUCAUUAUACAAUUGCGUAUAACGAGAUUACUGCGGGUUCCAAAUGACGGUAUUACGAAAACGAAGCUCAAAAAGUGUUUGUACAGUAUGGUACGCAUGGAUUGAUCAUUGAUAGAACACAGUGAUGAAUAUACCAGAAAGUUUUAGAAAAUAUUUUAUGUGCACUAGAGAGAAGAUAGCCAAGCUUUCACUCAGGAUUAUUUCCUUAGGUCAAACGAACACAAAGCGUCCAGUCAAUCAUUCCAGACGGCAGAUUAAAAUUAUCCAAAUAUUCAGAAGCGAUACAAAAGGCAUGAAAUGCUUCUUAAAUAUAGCCAAAAUAUCCUGAAAUUAUUACAGACAAAUUCUCAUUGUUGAUUACCAUAUUGCCAAAUGUUUUGUUUAAAAUAAUAAUCAGUUUCAAGAUUUUCCGGAGAGCAGAAAUAUUUCAAGGAUUUAGAUUGACAUUUUCAAGCUUCUCCGCUAGAUGGCAGAACGUAAGACAAUAAACCCAAAUACCAAGCGCUCGCUCGACUGUAUACAUUAUCGUAACGUUUUUUACAUGAUGAACUUCAAUUUAAAAUGCGUCAAGGUAGCACAGGAAUAACCUUCAGUUUUUUUUUAACUUCUGCAGUCUAAUCAGAUUAUUUUCACGCUAAGAUCAAAGCGAUUGAUGAAUGAAAUGAUUUCAUAAGAAUUACCCAAGAUAGGAACACGACGUACGUUUCUCGUUAUUGCAGAAAAAUUGUAUAAGGAAACUUGUGGGAUACUUUGUUCAACGUAUUCGAUUCAAAAGGAUAAGGAUUGUCAUUUAUGAACACAGUUAUGUUGAAUAAAUAUCUAUUGGGCGUGAACAAUAAUUUACAGGACAUGGAGGAAGAAGUAAAAAAUAUCGUUGAGAUAAGUUGCAUGUAAACCCCUUGUAGUAGUUUGAGGAAAAAUAUUGGACGAGAAAAUGUCCUGGAUGAGGAAAUGUCCUGGACGAGGAAAUGUCCUGAACAAAGAAGUGUCAUGGACAAAAAAAGUAUGCUAAACCAUGAAAUAUUCUGGGCGAGGAAGUGGCAUCCAGUGAAAUGUCCAUAACUUAUUUUUCAUAGAAAAUAAUUGUAGAAAAAAAAAGGAAUUAAGUAAACCAGAUAUUUCGUAACUCCAAACUGCUAAGCUCACUAAGAAAUCCAAAGGUCUGACGUCCGACCAUUCACAACCAUAAACCCUGAAUAGACUAGGGCGCAUAUCGAAUAACCAUAAUACGUACGUUUUAUCAUAUUUAAUUAUCCUCAGUACGUUCUAGAAUGAUUUUACUCGUGAAGCAUAUACCUCGUUCAUUGUUAUCGUAAAGUCACCUGAUAUCACCUGAUAAUCCUGACAAAAGUCAUUAACCUUCCUGCGCCGAGAUGAGAAUGUAAAUAGAAAAAAGUAUAUACAACAAAUGUUUCUUUUUCUUCAGAAAUUAUUAAUUCAUGACGAUAAAGACACUCGCAAAAGAAUAAUCGAGACUAAGAACGAAUGACUCAUGUUACACUCACCAGCCCUGAACGGAUGUGACAAUAUCAUUUAUCAGUAACUAUUUAAAUAAAUGAGCAAAUAUUAAGUAAUCAAAGACCUUGCGUAAUUAUAAUUUUGCAACAGAACAGUAGCCAUUUCUAUGACACACUAAGCUAAAUAAACAACAAAAAUUCAACAACGAUCCGAAACCCCAGACGUUCUGUUCUAAGCAUUGUACGGUACGAGUAUUUACAAAGCAUACAAUCAGGUACGAAUACACAAAAUUGUGUAGAUCAACUUUCUUCGAUGGAUCCAUGCAAGGUAAAAGUAUAAUAACAAUAAUAAUAACGUUCAAGGUCACCCAUUUUCAAAUACCAUCACGAGGAUAAGACCCAGAGACAUGGCGUUAGGAAUGUGACCUACAUGACGAAAAGGCCGUCAUACACGCUCAAGUUUUCCACCGUGAACGUUAAUUAUUGACAAGUAAAAAAUACGUGAUAAGUUAAAAGAGGAACAGUCACCCAAAGCGUUAAGAACCGAAAGGGCCGCAUGGCGUUUUGACCUGAAUGUGGCUGCACCUAGGUAAACAAAGCGGCCAAUUCCCAACCGACAUUGAGCGGUCGUUUGACUUUUUCUACUGAGAAGCGUCCAUCUUUAUUCGUGCCUGAAACCCAAUGGCCAAUCGGUUCCCGUGUGGCCGACGCAGUAGACACCUAACCUACUUAAGCGUCGCUCUCUCCGUCCCUGACGUCAGCGACUUCCAUUGCCAGUAACUUCACCGAGAGGAGCUUCCCUACCUUCAAUUUUCCAUAGCACUUUGGAACGUGUUGUAACUUUGCCAUUGAGAAGUUACAGAUAUACGUAUACUUAGAAGGGUUAAUUAGAACGUAAAGAGGAUAACUGAUGGAUUGAUAGUUUUGUGCUGGUAGUGGAUUUAACGGAACAAGCUACUUGGUGAGAAUUGCAAAGACCGUUAUUACGACGCUGGGAACUCGAGCUGGUCGGAAGUCGUGCGUGAGUCGUGGGAAAAUUUAUGGAUAUUUUGAGCACGUGUUCUUUACAGGCCUACUGCUUCAACACAUCGGAAUUUGCAUGUCUGAUCUGACGGCUCGACGAUACAAAUGUUUGGAUAUCUGUUUAAUUGUUUGGGAGAGAAAUGGGUUAUUGGAGUUUUUUCUUAAAUGAUCUGAUUAGUCAGUUUUGUUUCCUAUGUUACGAGUAUGUGCUGGGUGUAACUAAAUAUGUACUUGCUAAAAUUGAUAAUAAUAUAUUUCGUAUAACAUUCUGUGAUUGCAAGAGGCAAUACUUGUCUCUUGAAAUAAAUACAAGGUAUACUUGAUCAGUAUAAAUUUUAUUAAUACUUCCGUCGUGUACGUGGAUAUUACAGAAUUAUGUUUUGACAUUGAGACAAUUAUACAAUAAGAG
Cephus cinctus (wheat stem sawfly) is the source of this 3172-nucleotide long non-coding RNA. RefSeq lists it as uncharacterized. The transcript is spliced from 3 exons. Lineage: Eukaryota; Metazoa; Arthropoda; Insecta; Hymenoptera; Cephidae. The record is from RefSeq and is a predicted model, not a curated record.